RNAcentral lists this ribosomal RNA (478 nucleotides) under uncultured bacterium. Its description in RNAcentral is "partial 16S ribosomal RNA". It matches the Rfam family "Bacterial small subunit ribosomal RNA", at positions 28 to 523 of the family's 1533-position model. The record is from RNAcentral.
GACGAACGCUGGCGGCGUGCUUAACACAUGCAAGUCGAACGAUGAAGCCCUUCGGGGUGGAUUAGUGGCGAACGGGUGAGUAACACGUGGGCAAUCUGCCCUUCACUCUGGGACAAGCCCUGGAAACGGGGUCUAAUACCGGAUAACACUCUGUCCCGCAUGGGACGGGGUUGAAAGCUCCGGCGGUGAAGGAUGAGCCCGCGGCCUAUCAGCUUGUUGGUGGGGUGAUGGCCUACCAAGGCGACGACGGGUAGCCGGCCUGAGAGGGCGACCGGCCACACUGGGACUGAGACACGGCCCAGACUCCUACGGGAGGCAGCAGUGGGGAAUAUUGCACAAUGGGCGAAAGCCUGAUGCAGCGACGCCGCGUGAGGGAUGACGGCCUUCGGGUUGUAAACCUCUUUCAGCAGGGAAGAAGCGAAAGUGACGGUACCUGCAGAAGAAGCGCCGGCUAACUACGUGCCAGCAGCCGCCGUAA